Long non-coding RNA from Thalassophryne amazonica, 165 nucleotides. RefSeq lists it as uncharacterized. The transcript is spliced from 3 exons. The record is from RefSeq and is a predicted model, not a curated record. NCBI's taxonomy places the organism in Eukaryota, Metazoa, Chordata, Actinopteri, Batrachoidiformes, Batrachoididae.
GCCUCACUCUUCUCCUUCUUGCACAGUCACUCGGUUUUUGAGAACUGUCUACUUCACACCGAUUUACCAUAGAGUGUCAUACUGUUUGUAUUCCUUCAUAAUUGACGUAAAUGAAGUUCGAGACAUAUUCAGUGUCUUGGAAAUGUUCAAGUAUCCAUCCCCUGA